UACGUAGGGACCGAGCGUUGUCCGGAAUCAUUGGGCGUAAAGCGCGUGUAGGCGGCCCGGUAAGUCCGCUGUGAAAGUCGGGGGCUCAACCCUCGAAUGCCGGUGGAUACUGUCGGGCUCGAGUGCGGAAGAGGCGAGUGGAAUUCCUGGUGUAGCGGUGAAAUGCGCAGAUAUCAGGAGGAACACCGAUUGCGAAGGCAGCUCGCUGGGACGUUACUGACGCUGAGACGCGAAAGCGUGGGGAGCAAACAGG
Molecule: ribosomal RNA, 253 nt
Filed under: uncultured bacterium
Lineage: Bacteria
Description: partial 16S ribosomal RNA
Rfam family: Bacterial small subunit ribosomal RNA
Source: RNAcentral